GGUCACAAUCAACAUUCAUUGCUGUCGGUGGGUUGAACUGUGUAGACAAGCUCACUGAACAAUGAAUGCAACUGUGGCCC
Molecule: microRNA precursor, 80 nt
Organism: Castor canadensis (American beaver)
Lineage: Eukaryota; Metazoa; Chordata; Mammalia; Rodentia; Castoridae
Source: Ensembl